RNAcentral lists this ribosomal RNA (250 nucleotides) under uncultured bacterium. Its description in RNAcentral is "partial 16S ribosomal RNA". It matches the Rfam family "Bacterial small subunit ribosomal RNA", at positions 32 to 265 of the family's 1533-position model. The record is from RNAcentral.
AAUCAACGCUGGCGGCGUGCCUAACACAUGCAAGUCGAACGCGAAAGUGGAGCAAUCCAUGAGUAGAGUGGCAAACGGGUGAGUAACACGUGGGCGACCUACCUCAGAGUGGGGGAUAACCUUCCGAAAGGAGGGCUAAUACCGCAUGACAUCCCGUGUUUGGAUACACGGAGAUCAAAGCCGGGGAUCGCAAGACCUGGCGCUUGGAGAGGGGCCCGCGUCCGAUUAGCUAGUUGGUGAGGUAACGGCU